This 1197-nucleotide long non-coding RNA is filed under the name Gallus gallus (chicken). RNAcentral's name for it is "lncRNA (ENSGALG00010004289.1)". The record is from RNAcentral. Lineage: Eukaryota; Metazoa; Chordata; Aves; Galliformes; Phasianidae.
GGAGAUAAGAGUUUCAGUAGGUUUCCCAACAGCGUACUUAAAGGAACUACAAGUCUUCAAAUACAAAGAGAACAAUUGAGUCCUUUCAUCUUUUCAGUGUCUUAUGUCUACGCUGGAUAGAAGAAGAAUUAAGAGACUUAUUGAUUCGAGGAAGAUUUAGACCAGUCACUGAGGAGGAACUAGCAGGAAGAGAUUUUCAAGAGCAACCUGUCUGUAGAGCCCCGGUACAGCAGGGUGCUGGCCUGAAACCAAUGUUCUGUGGGACUGGAGCCAGAAACAGGAUCAGGGUUGCAGGAAGAACCCUGAAAAGAAAGGCUCUUCUUUCAGAAAGUGGAGCUCCAUGAGCUGUCGGCAUCCCAGGGGCAGAGCAGAGGCAGAUUUUGGCUGUGAAGUUGACCCAGCCAAUGCCAUGCAGGACAAGGUGGCAUUGAGAAGGUCCAGAGCAGCAGCAUGUGUGCUGGAGGGGAACCACAAGCCGUGAGGGAUAGGGCAAAAGUGCCCGCUUCAUAAAUACACAUGAACAAACAAAACAGCUCACCAGCAGACAAGCUUAGCUGGGGAGCUUUGUGCAAGGCAAUGCAAGAGGAGGCACGCAGCUCGAGCGCUGGGUCAGGAGGAAUGAGCCUAAGUCACCGGUGUCUCACAUCUCCUCUCUUGCUUUACUGAUGGAGAGUAACAUGCAGGUAAACUUCAGAAGUCACAUGCAGUAAAUUUCAUACAUUCUUAUCUUGCCCAAACCUAUGCACAUUCACAAGGCGUCUUUCUGGAAAUAUCAGACCUGUAAAUCCCAGAUGCAGAGAUAAGAGCAGGAGCAUAGGAAUGAGCCUUAAACUGCCUAGUUUGAGUAAUUGUAAUGAUUUCAUUCUGGCUAAUAGCAGCGAGGAGUCAAGGGGAGUGAAGGCAGCUCCUUGUUUCUCAGUGACCUAAUAGUGACUGUCAGCCUGCUUUUUAUUGGGAGUAAUUACAUUUUCCUUUCCUGAUCUUUACAGCUCUUGUCUAUUUGCCCUCAGCAAGCUUGCCUGCCUUGCCCUCUUCUGUGCUCUGAAACCCAGAAAUUCCACACAGAUGAUGCUAUUCACAUCAAACAGAGGAUGCAUAAAGUCAUGGUGAUUGUAAAGACGUGGUGGGCAUAUUUCUGCACUGCAAAACUCAGGAACACGGCCUGCCAGGUAGUUCAUCCCCAAGUGCUGGAGGAGC